RNAcentral lists this ribosomal RNA (140 nucleotides) under Chara vulgaris. The record is from RNAcentral. Lineage: Eukaryota; Viridiplantae; Streptophyta; Charophyceae; Charales; Characeae.
AUCCUGGUAUCUUAGGCGUAGUGGAACCACACCAAUCCAUCCCGAACUUGGUGGUGAAACUCUACCGCGGUGACAAUACUGUAGAGGAAGCUCUACGGGAAAAUAACUCGAUGCCAGGAUCACUUCUUGAAUCUUUUCUU